GUUUGCUUUAGAUGUAAUACAAUGUGUAUACAUGAUUUAAGGUAAAAAAAAAAAGACGCUGUAUUUUCCACAUACCGAGCAUGUUUGUAUCUCCUCUUUGCUCUGCCUCUAAGAAACGCGCUGAUAUUUUACAAAGCUCAUCGCUCUAGAAAAGCGAGGUGUGCUAUGAUUGGCCAGUUCACUAGUGCGUAGUGAUUGGUCGAAUACUGCACGGAAACGUAACGCCUCUUACCAUAAUCGGAACAUCAGGUUGGGCAGGCGACGGUACAAUGAGAUUUACAAGACCGCCCACCUUAAUUGCGGUUAAAUUUGGGCGGUCUUAGUCAAAUGGUGUUAGGAACUGACGUAGAUUCGCCGGGGUGUGGUUACACGAGGCGUUUCGGACAGGGGCCCGUUUCAGAAAGCAGGGUAAGUGCAAACUCAGAGUAAGUCAACCCCAGAAAACGGAAUACUCAGGGUUUUUGGUUUCAGAACGCGAGGUAUGUCAAACCCGCGACCACGGAGUAAGUCAAGCCCAUUUCAGAAAUCGAGGUAUUUUAUACUCCGAGUGAGUAACCAGAGUAACCUACUCCGUGAACCUAACCUGGUCGGGAGCAGGUUUUAUUCCGCAAACCUAGGGUUUGUUACAAUCUCCUCCCCCUUUUCGAAGUGAAAGCGAGCGGUGUUGAAAUUACAUACGUCAUUUGUUUAUUGAUUCGUGUUCCUAAUCGCGCUCAAUUUAGUCACACAGAACUUAAAAUGGCAUGUCCGUUUAUUUAGGAACCCAUAGAAGAGGAAGCUGCAUUAAUUCGCAGAGAAUUAUAUUUAUGUCGGGAGAGAAUUGUGAGGCCCCGUUUGGACGUUUUAUCUUAACUUUUAAGGCCAGUUUAAGAAGUAUAUUUAACAUUUCCCAAUCAGGCAUCUUACUAGCAAGACCAUUUUAUUUCUUUAAAGUUUCCUGAAUAAAUGAUGUUAUUGUAUUUCUACGACGGCGUUUUAGUGGCACGUUAAAAAUAAAAUAAAUUCAAGAUUACGAGAUUAAAGUCGAAAUGUUACGAGAUUAAAGUCGAAUGUUACGAGAAUAAACUCGUCGUAAUACGUAUUUUAUUUUCGUGAAGGUUGUAGUUUAAGAGUUGAAGUUAUGUUUGAGCACGUCAUCUGAAUCAGUGAGUUAAUUCGUAGUUCAUGUCAGAUUUUUUCUUCUGAAUAAAUUCAGUUUCCUACAUAACGGCUGCAGUGUCCUUUUACUAAUUAUAACUCCGUGAUGAUGCGCCAAAAUACAAAGAAUUUCCUUAUUGCUAAAUCAUAAUCUCAAGUAGGAUUUAACCAAAUCCUCCACAUCCAUUGUUUCUAGAAAUUCUGUUAUUUUUCUCAAAAUAUUACGACUUUAUUCUCGUAACAUUUCGACUUUAUUCUCGUAACAUUUCGACUUUAUUCUCGUAACAUUUUGACUUUAUAUUUCGACUUUAUUCUCGUAACAUUUCGACUUUAUUCUCGAAAUGUUUUUUUUUUUACGACGCCGUCGUAUAUUUCAUAUUCAGCUGCUGCCAAGAUCUUUUUAUUGCAAAAGGAUAGCACCUACAUGAGAGCGAGAGAGUUAAAUAUAAUUUACAUUUUCACAGUUUCAACAAAAUAAAUAUAAAAGUGAUUGACAUAUAAACUGGCGCAUUAACAAGUGAAGCACUUUUCUCCCAUACCAACUCUCUUUCUUUUGCUGCUGCGGCUGUGUUGCUCUUUUUUUCUUAAUAUUCACCUUACGCUUGUAACAGUACCUUCAAUUCGAUUGGCGAGAAAUGAACAGAGCGCUUUUUGUCACGUGCCGUUGCCAUGGUGAAUCGUGCUAUCUUCACUCAAUUGAUAAUGGCUUUUCAUCGCCAUGCUGAACGCGCGUAACCUAGAGUGAACUUACUCAGAGUGGAUUGAACUAACUCAAAUCAGCUGUUCUGAAACUGAAAACUCAGAGUAGCGAUUCUCUGAGUAAAUCAACUCAGAGUUCAGAUUUUAACUCGGUGUUGGUUGAACUUCCUUAUUGAAACGGGCCCCAGGUCUGGGUAGGCAUUUGCCUCUAGAUAAAAUAUAUAUUUUGUUCCGACACUUACAUUUUUUUAAUUUUACGUGUAUAAUACAUGCAUGGGCAACUUAUAACACACCAAAGACAAAGAAAAACACGUAUUUCCGGCGAUCACCGCUUUAAACAGAGUCAUUUGUAACUGCAGUUGCGGCAUUACGCCACAGUGGAGGCGCUAUUUCGUUAUCAGAACUGUGAGGCGCUGAAGAGUUUAGUAGAAGAGCUUAGUAGCUGUAUAAGCUGUGUUUGACGGCAGUUCAUGUGUUUUACGUUAAAAAAAAAAAAAUAAGUUAACGUGCUAUACAUCAUUGAAAUGGUUUUAGAUGUGAAGUUGGCUCGUAGAAUCAGCGUUAUACUCUGUACACAGCGAGUUCGCCAGUAUGAACGCACAUUGCGAUCAGACCGACUCGCACACAAAUGACUCAUCUGAACCGAUUCAUUUUAACAGAAUGUAUGAGAUCAGCGAUUCAUUCAGAGCUCUGUGAACAACAAGAGAACGUAUGUAGGAUGUGAAUGAACUUUGCGCAUUUUGUUAGACUGGUUAAUUAUCACCUGAAAAGUUUGGUAAGCUUGCAUUUAAAUUUUCAACUUUUCUGUUCAGAUGAAUAAAAUGAAUGUUUUUUUUUAUAACUUAUUACCCAGCGGGCACCUCGAUGUCAAUUUGACGUCAAAUUUCAGACAAGAUUUGAUCAAGAUGGUGCACCACAUCAUUUCAAAUUCAAAUCAUACAUUAAAUUCUUCAAGGUUUUUAAUGAGGUGAAAAUAUGAGGUUUAUCCCAUACUGAAAUUGGUUAAUGUAAGUAUAGCCCAAUAUGUUUGACAUUGAAAUGACGUCAAAUCAACGUUGCAUUAUAGGCAUUCAUUUGAUGUUGUAUUGACAUCAUAUUGACAUCAAUGUAAAUCCAGUUGAAAUAGCAUUUUUCUUCUAACUGGCCCCUCAAAAUGCAUCUAUUUGUCACAUCUUUUGAAGCAGUUCUUGGAUUUGUACAUGAAAGUGGACUGCUGUAACUUCUGUGGUAAAAAACACUUUUUUUAAAAGUAUGUAAAUACUCAUGCUGAAAUAAAAGGAAACAGUGAUUGUUAAAUUUUACAAGAAAAUAUACUGAUUUGCCAAUAAUACAUUCAGAUGUAAUUACAAUUUAAAAUAUUAAAAACAAAAGCAGCAUUUUUGCUGUAACCCCACAUAAAGUAUUAUGUAUCCUUAUUUUUGUUAUUUAUAGUGAUAUUAUAUUACUGUAAAAUUAGAAAAACAUUGCUGUAAUUGAAAAUACUCAUAAAAUUGUAAUACCUUAUAAUGUAUGUACCAUUUUUACAGUAUUACAACUUCAUGUUCAUUUUAGUCAAAAAACUCUUAUAAAUUUUUUAUAAAUUUUUAUUUUUCCUUAAUUUUUAUUAAUAAUCAUUAAUUAAUCAUUAAUUUUAUUAUGAAAAAUGUUGGGCCUACAAUGCCCAUUCAUUCUCUGUAGUUUUAAUGCCCAUUUAUUAUCUGUCUUAUGUAUUUCUUAAUACCACCUGUAGACGGCGCCAUGGCCUAUUUCACAUUUCCGGGUUUCUCAGCAGCUGAAGUUAGUGAAUGGACUACAACAAUUAAUUUAUUUUUUGUGUGAAAUUUGAUGCAAAUGUAGUAUAACAUAUUAUUUUAUACAUACACGUAAAAAUAUAAAAUUUAUAAAAAUAUUUGGAGGAUUUACUACGUUGACCGUUGAAACGUACGUCAUCACGUCUUGCGUAGAGGCCAGUGUUUGCUAUGCGGUCGAAGCAUUGGACAAGGUUGUCGCUUUUUAUCAGAAUUCUUACAAACAAAUUGAUGUCAACAAUGAAUAUGGAUGGCUCAGGAAUGAAGAAGGCCUUUGGAAAACACGGCUAUGUCGUGUUAUAAUAGGUGCACUACAGCAGUCCAAACCUUCAUUAUCAGAGGCUGAAAU
Molecule: long non-coding RNA, 3972 nt
Organism: Triplophysa dalaica
Lineage: Eukaryota; Metazoa; Chordata; Actinopteri; Cypriniformes; Nemacheilidae
Exons: 3
Source: RefSeq, a predicted model, not a curated record